GGGAUUGUGUGAAGAUGACCCUUCUUGCGACAAAACCACUAUGCGGUUAUGCCUCUAAGUCGUGUCUCGACACGUGGGAGAUAUAGCCGCAUCGUGGACGUUACACUCAUUUUAGUGUAGGACUUGCUGCUAUUGCUGUCAUAUUCACACUGUAUUUUCCAAAGUUCGAUAGUAUGUCGUCCUUAGGAUAAGUUGUUGAUCAAAAAAAUGGACUAAAUUAAAGCAUUCCCAGGACUUGAUGCUGUUGUUAUUGACCUGCUGCUGUUGUCAUUAACCUUCUGUUACCGAACUGUAACCUUUGUUUAAGCUUUCUUUUUCUUGCAAUUACUAGUUGUGAUAAUUGUAUGGUGAUAAGAAUGCAUCUGCAGGACAAUAUAUUUUGCUGGUUCCACCAUGCAAUCACAUGAAACUUGGUGUUGCUGCUUCCUGGCUGGCUGUAGCUUUGCAUGAAGCAACAAGAGAUGACUUCACUUUGCUGGCCUAUUUUUUGCCCCCUCCGAUUGAGAUGCCAAAGCAUAGAGGGAGCUUGAUAAAGCUUGGAUGUUGGUCAGGGCUCCAACGGUGCUGAUGCUAUUGGGCUGGUUGUGGCCUCAUGCAUGGUAGUAGGCUUAUCUGGCCCCUGACUAUAGAGUGCUAUAUUGUUGAGCGUUUUACAUGUAGAGUGUUAUAUUGUGAUUGGUGGAAUAAUAUAUGGUGUAUAUUGUGAUUGUGUGGAAUAAUGUAAUAAACUGAGUUUGGCUGUUAUUUGAAUCGGUGUGUUGACUA
Molecule: non-coding RNA, 765 nt
Organism: Aegilops tauschii subsp. strangulata
Lineage: Eukaryota; Viridiplantae; Streptophyta; Magnoliopsida; Poales; Poaceae
Source: RefSeq, a predicted model, not a curated record